RNAcentral lists this ribosomal RNA (351 nucleotides) under uncultured bacterium. Its description in RNAcentral is "bacterial SSU rRNA". It matches the Rfam family "Bacterial small subunit ribosomal RNA", at positions 917 to 1271 of the family's 1533-position model. The record is from RNAcentral.
GGGCCCGCACAAGCGGUGGAGCAUGUGGUUUAAUUCGAUGAUACGCGAGGAACCUUACCAGGGCUUAAAUGCAGAAUGACAGAUUGGGAAACCAGUCCUUCUUCGGACAUUUUGCAAGGUGCUGCAUGGUUGUCGUCAGCUCGUGCCGUGAGGUGUCAGGUUAAGUCCUAUAACGAGCGCAACCCCUAUUCUUAGUUGCCAGCGGGUAAUGCCGGGAACUCUAAGGAGACUGCCAGCGCAAGCUGCGAGGAAGGUGGGGAUGACGUCAAAUCAUCACGGCCCUUACGUCCUGGCUACACACGUGCUACAAUGGAUGGUACAAUGGGCAGCCACUACGCGAGUAGGAGCUAA